GGGGACCUUUCGGGCCCUUGCGCUAAUAGAUGAGCCUAAGUCGGAUUAGCUAGUUGGUAGGGUAAAGGCCUACCAAGGCGACGAUCUGUAGCGGGUCUGAGAGGAUGAUCCGCCACACUGGGACUGAGACACGGCCCAGACUCCUACGGGAGGCAGCAGUGGGGAAUAUUGGACAAUGGGGGGAACCCUGAUCCAGCCAUGCCGCGUGUGUGAAGAAGGCCUUUUGGUUGUAAAGCACUUUAAGCGAGGAGGAGGCUACCUAGAUUAAUACUUUAGGAUAGUGGACGUUACUCGCAGAAUAAGCACCGGCUAACUCUGUGCCAGCAGCCGCGGUAAUACAGAGGGUGCGAGCGUUAAUCGGAUUUACUGGGCGUAAAGCGUGCGUAGGCGGCCAAUUAAGUCAAAUGUGAAAUCCCCGAGCUUAACUUGGGAAUUGCAUUCGAUACUGGUUGGCUAGAGUAUGGGAGAGGAUGGUAGAAUUCCAGGUGUAGCGGUGAAAUGCGUAGAGAUCUGGAGGAAUACCGAUGGCGAAGGCAGCCAUCUGGCCUAAUACUGACGCUGAGGUACGAAAGCAUGGGGAGCAAACAGGAUUAGAUACCCUGGUAGUCCAUGCCGUAAACGAUGUCUACUAGCCGUUGGGGCCCUUGAGGCUUUAGUGGCGCAGCUAACGCGAUAAGUAGACCGC
Molecule: ribosomal RNA, 685 nt
Filed under: uncultured Gammaproteobacteria bacterium
Lineage: Bacteria; Pseudomonadati; Pseudomonadota; Gammaproteobacteria
Description: bacterial SSU rRNA
Rfam family: Bacterial small subunit ribosomal RNA
Source: RNAcentral